GUAAUGUCUGGGAAACUGCCUGAUGGAGGGGGAUAACUACUGGAAACGGUGGCUAAUACCGCAUAACGUCGCAAGACCAAAGAGGGGGACCUUCGGGCCUCUUGCCAUCAGAUGUGCCCAGAUGGGAUUAGCUUGUUGGUGAGGUAACGGCUCACCAAGGCGACGAUCCCUAGCUGGUCUGAGAGGAUGACCAGCCACACUGGAACUGAGACACGGUCCAGACUCCUACGGGAGGCAGCAGUGGGGAAUAUUGCACAAUGGGCGCAAGCCUGAUGCAGCCAUGCCGCGUGUAUGAAGAAGGCCUUCGGGUUGUAAAGUACUUUCAGCGGGGAGGAAGGUGUUGUGGUUAAUAACCGCAGCAAUUGACGUUACCCGCAGAAGAAGCACCGGCUAACUCCGUGCCAGCAGCCGCGGUAAUACGGAGGGUGCAAGCGUUAAUCGGAAUUACUGGGCGUAAAGCGCACGCAGGCGGUCUGUCAAGUCGGAUGUGAAAUCCCCGGGCUCAACCUGGGAACUGCAUUCGAAACUGGCAGGCUUGAGUCUUGUAGAGGGGGGUAGAAUUCCAGGUGUAGCGGUGAAAUGCGUAGAGAUCUGGAGGAAUACCGGUGGCGAAGGCGGCCCCCUGGACAAAGACUGACGCUCAGGUGCGAAAGCGUGGGGAGCAAACAGGAUUAGAUACCCUGGUAGUCCACGCCGUAAACGAUGUCUACUUGGAGGUUGUGCCCUUGAGGCGUGGCUUCCGGAGCUAACGCGUUAAGUAGACCGCCUGGGGAGUACGGCCGCAAGGUUAAAACUCAAAUGAAUUGACGGGGGCCCGCACAAGCGGUGGAGCAUGUGGUUUAAUUCGAUGCAACGCGAAGAACCUUACCUGGUCUUGACAUCCACAGAAGAAUCCAGAGAUGGAUUUGUGCCUUCGGGAACUGUGAGACAGGUGCUGCAUGGCUGUCGUCAGCUCGUGUUGUGAAAUGUUGGGUUAAGUCCCGCAACGAGCGCAACCCUUAUCCUUUGUUGCCAGCGGUUAGG
RNAcentral lists this ribosomal RNA (1023 nucleotides) under Salmonella enterica. Its description in RNAcentral is "partial 16S ribosomal RNA". It matches the Rfam family "Bacterial small subunit ribosomal RNA", at positions 110 to 1129 of the family's 1533-position model. The record is from RNAcentral. RNAcentral also lists the same sequence under 1 other name. Lineage: Bacteria; Pseudomonadati; Pseudomonadota; Gammaproteobacteria; Enterobacterales; Enterobacteriaceae.